AUUGAACGCUGGCGGCAUGCUUUACACAUGCAAGUCGAACGGUAACAGGCCUUCGGGUGCUGACGAGUGGCGAACGGUUGAGUAAUGCAUCGGAACGUACCCAGAGGUGGGGGUUAACGCAGCGAAAGCUGUUCUAAUACCGCAUGUGAUCUGAGGAUGAAAGCGGGGGACCGAGCAGCAAUGUUUGUCCUCUCGCCUUUGUAUCGGCCGAUUUCGGAUUAGCUAGUUGGUGGGGUAAAGGCCUACCAAGGCGACGAUCCGUAUCUGGUCUGAGAGGACGACCAGAAAAACUGGAAAUGAGAAACGGCAAAGAAUCGGAGGGGAGGAAGAAGGGGGGAAUGUUGGAAAAUGGGAGAAAGACUGAUCCAGAAAUGCAGGGUGAGGGAAGAAGGACGUCGGGUUGUAAACCGCUUUUGGCAGGAACGAAAAGGUGUCAGCUAAUACCGGGCGGUAAUGACGGUAACUGCAGAAUAAGAAACGGCUAACUACGU
RNAcentral lists this ribosomal RNA (491 nucleotides) under uncultured bacterium. RNAcentral describes it as "partial 16S ribosomal RNA". It matches the Rfam family "Bacterial small subunit ribosomal RNA", at positions 29 to 506 of the family's 1533-position model. The record is from RNAcentral.